RNAcentral lists this ribosomal RNA (253 nucleotides) under uncultured bacterium. RNAcentral describes it as "partial 16S ribosomal RNA". It matches the Rfam family "Bacterial small subunit ribosomal RNA", at positions 524 to 776 of the family's 1533-position model. The record is from RNAcentral.
UACGGAGGGUGCAAGCGUUAUCCGGAUUCACUGGGUUUAAAGGGUGCGUAGGUGGCUUUGCAAGUCAGUGGUGAAAGCCCGGAGCUCAACUCCGGAACUGCCAUUGAUACUGCUUAGCUUGAAUCAAGUAGAGGUGGAUGGAAUAUUACAUGUAGCGGUGAAAUGCUUAGAUAUGUAAUAGAACACCGAUUGCGAAGGCAGUUCACUAUGCUUGUAUUGACACUGAGGCACGAAAGCGUGGGGAUCAAACAGG